Long non-coding RNA from Esox lucius (northern pike), 454 nucleotides. NCBI's taxonomy places the organism in Eukaryota, Metazoa, Chordata, Actinopteri, Esociformes, Esocidae. The record is from Ensembl.
UCCAGAGUGUGCAACAGCAUUGACUUUCAAGUUGCUAUCGACCGUGCAGUUUUGGAAAACUUCCAUGUCGCCAAAAUAAACUGGAGACCGGAGGGAUGUACAACUCUCAAUCCUGUAGUACUGUGGAUCCUCCUAACAUCAAUCCCAUCGCCAUUGUUCUGAGUUGCAUUGCGAUACUAUGUGUGUUGGCCUGUGGAUCUGUUCUAUGGUACAGGAAGUGUAAAUCACCCACACCCAAUAAUGUUUGCCUGCUGUUGACGACCUGCCUGAGCAUUCUCUCCGCCAGCCGUAUACCGUAUCCUCUCUGUGAGAUCCGAGACUUGACGCCGCCAGACCUGGUCUUUCUGCUGUGCUCUGCCUCUGUUACUGGAAUAUAUUUGUAGUUUGUCUAACGCACGUAUUGACGGCAGUUUCUGUUAAUUAUUUCAAGAAGAGGAUUUCUGUUCAUCUGGAC